This 253-nucleotide ribosomal RNA is filed under the name uncultured bacterium. RNAcentral describes it as "partial 16S ribosomal RNA". It matches the Rfam family "Bacterial small subunit ribosomal RNA", at positions 524 to 776 of the family's 1533-position model. The record is from RNAcentral.
UACAGAGGGUGCAAGCGUUAAUCGGAUUUACUGGGCGUAAAGCGCGCGUAGGUGGUUUGAUCAGUCGGAUGUGAAAGCCCCGAGCUUAACCUGGGAAGUGCAUUCGAUACUGUCUGACUAGAGUUUAGUAGAGGAAGGUAGAAUUCCAGGUGUAGCGGUGAAAUGCGUAGAUAUCUGGAGGAAUACCAGUGGCGAAGGCGGCCUUCUGGACUAAAGCUGACACUGAGGUGCGAAAGCUUGGGUAGCAAACAGG